Molecule: ribosomal RNA, 482 nt
Filed under: uncultured bacterium
Lineage: Bacteria
Description: partial 16S ribosomal RNA
Rfam family: Bacterial small subunit ribosomal RNA
Source: RNAcentral
AUUGAACGCUGGCGGCAUGCUUUACACAUGCAAGUCGAACGGUAACAGGCCGCAAGGUGCUGACGAGUGGCGAACGGGUGAGUAAUGCAUCGGAACGUGCCCAGUCGUGGGGGUUACUUAUCCGAAAGAUUACUUAUUACCCCUUCCGACCUUUGGAUGAAAGCGGGGGACCGAAAGCCCUCCCCCGAUUGGGCCGCCGGAUGUCAGAUUAGGUAGUUGGUGGGGUAAAGGCUCACCAAGCCAACGAUCUGUAGCUGGUCUGAGAGGACGACCAGCCACACUGGGACUGAGACACGGCCCAGACUCCUACGGGAGGCAGCAGUGGGGAAUUUUGGACAAUGGGCGCAAGCCUGAUCCAGCAAUGCCGCGUACAGGAAGAAGGCCUUCGGGUUGUAAACUGCUUUUGUACGGAACGAAACGGCUCUGGUUAAUACCCGGGGCUAAUGACGGUACCGUAAGAAUAAGCACCGGCUAACUACGUG